Molecule: long non-coding RNA, 2090 nt
Filed under: Equus caballus (horse)
Lineage: Eukaryota; Metazoa; Chordata; Mammalia; Perissodactyla; Equidae
Description: lncRNA (ENSECAG00000045775.1)
Source: RNAcentral
AAAACAAAACAAAACAAAAGAACAUAAAGGAGGGUCUGAAGACACGUACAACCAUUAAAGAAUGUGAUGGCUUUGUAAUGUGUCAGUUUGGCUAGGCUGAACUAGCUCUCUCAGAAUUCUCUUUCUUCUAUGUUUCUAGUUAAGGUAGACCACAAGGGAGAUUCUUCAGAGAUUUGGAAGGCAAAGGGAAGUAGUAGCCACUGUGUAGCUCCCACAUGCUGUUGCUGAGUUGCUGAUUCACCUUGGUGUGAAGAGGUGGCUAGGUCUGAAAUUGCUCUAUGUUGCCCUGGAUCCUCUGUCAGUGUCUCUGAUUCCUGAGCCAGGUGUGUGUGUUUAGCUCCACGAGGCAAUUCCUGGGCCAGGUAUGUGUGUUUAGCUCCAUGAGGUGAUUCCUGGGCCAGGUGUAUGUGUUUAGCUCUGUGAUAAAGGGCCCUGGCUUCUGCACGAUGACCUCAUCACAAGGCCAGACCGGAUAAGAAUGGACUCAGGCUUCAGUCUGUCCUUGUGGGAUGCCAGCUUCGCUCGUGGGUUUGCACCUGCUCCUGGUCUUCCCCUCCUGACCGCCUGCCCUGUGGACUUUGAGCCCCAGCAUCAGCAUGUGAUGCUUGGAGGUGUGGCAGCCAUCUUGCAACCACGCAGGAGAAAACACCAUGCUCUGAAGAUGAUGGAGAAGGAAGAUGGGAAGGGCAUGGAUCCUUCCUGACGUUGUCGAGCCGCUGAACCAACCCUGCAACCUCCCAGCUCCAGACUUGUUAAAUGAGAUGAUAAAUGUCUUUAUUGUUUGAGCCACUGAUAGCUGGGUAAUCUAUGAAGUACAGCUGAAAGUAUCGUGAGAGAUGACUGAAGAUCUUGUGUACAAUCCUGCCUCCCAGAGUUCCAGGAGCAGUGCCAGCCAGCACUAAGGCAGAAAACACAACGGGCGGGCUGAGGGCCUCGUGCUCUCCAGUCUCCUUUCACCUGUUCUCGCCGCAUCACACUGUCGAGCUCAGAGGCUGAGAAUUCCACAGGUUAGAGCUUUCGCUGAGACCGAAGUGUGACUAAUGAUAUGGAAACACCUCUGAAAGGGCUGGGAAUGACCCAUGACCUUCAAGGCUUCUUCCCUCUAACGAUUCAGUGACUUGCGUCGCAAAGGAAACAGGAGACGGGCUAGAAUGAGGACAGAAGGGGAGAGAAAGCACUUGGGGGCUGUUUUUAAGCAGGAAUUCAUUGAAAGUUUGCUAGGUUCCAGGAGCUUUACCCUCACUAUCAAAUUUUUUUAAUCAAACAUUUAUUUAGCACUUAUUAUGGUGCCAGGUGACAUCCAAGCACUUGAAGAAUAUUAGUACGUUUAAUCCUUGCAACAGCCACACGAGAUGGAGUUGCUAUCGUUAAGCCUAAUUUAUGAAGAGGUGGACCAGGCAGGUCACCAGCUCUGAACCAUUCUGGACACGGGGCAGUUCUCGUGGUCUCAGGCAAAGCAACUCUGUGUCCUGCAGCUCUCCAGCCCCAAGCUCUGCGGGGUGGCCCCACCGGCAGGUUGGCCUGGAUCCCCUAUGCAGCCUGAGGAUUUCAGGGGCCCUGGCUCUCAGCUGCUGCCCCGGCCUGCACCCAUGCCAGGUGCUCCCUUCUCCAAGGGCAGCAAGACUUCUCCCAAGUAAGUGGGAGGCCCCAGACCUCCCUUGUCACACGAGGCCCUUGGCAACAAGUUCCAAGAGGAAGAAGGAAUUCAGAAGUUGAAGAUGAAGAUGGGGCUUUGAAGCCCUUUGCUCUGCCUCCCAAAAGUGCCAUCCCUGCCUCUGUCCGUCCUGCUUCCUCCUUGGUCCACAGCAGAGAGCCGUGCUCAGGGCGGAGCAGAGGGCAGUAACCUCAACCUCUCUAGUGUUGGGAUCUAACGCCUGAAGUGGGCUAAGCCAAGCUUUGCUAGGGUGCAGUCCUGAGAGACUUCUCUUUAAAAAUUAGAUAAUGGGAAUUAAAAAUGUUUUAAUGGUCCUGUAAACCUUGCAUUAAGAUUAUUGUCAUCCUUAUUUGAUAAAUGAGGAAACGCGGCUCAGAGUGACUGGCCAUCCAUGGCCACGCAGCUAACAAGUAGCCUGUCUGAAUGCAAAACCCAG